AGGAUUAUAUUUAAUUAUAAUAAUUGAUUUGCAGUCAAAAGGUACCUAAAGGUUAAUCUUA
This 61-nucleotide transfer RNA is filed under the name Processina sexmaculata. RNAcentral describes it as "tRNA-Ala". The record is from RNAcentral. Lineage: Eukaryota; Metazoa; Arthropoda; Insecta; Hemiptera; Cicadellidae.